Molecule: ribosomal RNA, 253 nt
Filed under: uncultured bacterium
Lineage: Bacteria
Description: partial 16S ribosomal RNA
Rfam family: Bacterial small subunit ribosomal RNA
Source: RNAcentral
UACGUAGGGGGCAAGCGUUAUCCGGAUUUACUGGGUGUAAAGGGAGCGUAGACGGUUAUGCAAGUCUGAAGUGAAAGCCCAAGGCUCAACCAUGGGACUGCUUUGGAAACUGUAAAACUGGAGUGCAGGAGAGGUAAGCGGAAUUCCUAGUGUAGCGGUGAAAUGCGUAGAUAUUAGGAGGAACACCAGUGGCGAAGGCGGCUUACUGGACUGUAACUGACGUUGAGGCUCGAAGGCGUGGGGAGCAAACAGG